GUCUACGGCCAUGCCACCCUGAACAAGCCUGAUCCCGUCUAAUAUAGGAAGCUAAGCAGGGUCGGGCGUGGUUGGUACUUAGAUGGGAGACCAGCUAGGAAGACUGGAUGCUGUAGGUG
RNAcentral lists this ribosomal RNA (119 nucleotides) under Pteropus alecto (black flying fox). Lineage: Eukaryota; Metazoa; Chordata; Mammalia; Chiroptera; Pteropodidae. The record is from RNAcentral.